AGAGUUUGAUUAUGGCUCAGGACGAACGCUGGCGGCGUGCCUAACACAUGCAAGUCGAACGGGACCAGGGGCAACUCUGGUUCAGUGGCGGACGGGUGCGUAACACGUGAGGAACAUGACUUUCGGCGGGGGAUAGCCGGCCCAACGGCCGGGUAAUACCGCGUACGACCUCUCGGGGACAUCCCCGGUUGGUGAAGCAGCAAUGCACCGAAGAGUGCCUCGCGGCCUAUCAGCUAGUUGGUGGGGUAACGGCUCACCAGGCGACGACGGGUAGCUGGUCUGAGAGGAUGGCCAGCCACAUUGGGACUGAGACACGGCCCAGACUCCUACGGGAGGCAGCAGUGGGGAAUAUUGCGCAAUGGGCGAAAGCCUGACGCAGCGACGCCGCGUGUGGGAUGACGGCCUUCGGGUUGUAAACCACUGUCGGGAGGGACGAAUGCGCCGCAAGGCGAGUGACGGUACCUCCAAAGGAAGCACCGGCUAACUCCGUGCCAGCAGCCGCGGUAAUACGGAGGGUGCGAGCGUUGUCCGGAAUCACUGGGCGUAAAGGGCGCGUAGGCGGCCUGAUAAGUAGGGGGUGAAAUCUUGCGGCUUAACCGCAAGGCUGCCUUCUAAACUGUCAGGCUAGAGCACAGUAGAGGCAGGUGGAAUUCCCGGUGUAGCGGUGGAAUGCGUAGAGAUCGGGAAGAACAUCAGUGGCGAAGGCGGCCUGCUGGGCUGUUGCCGACGCUGAGGCGCGACAGCGAUGGGAAGCAACAGGAUUAGAUACCCUGGUAGUCCACGCCGUAAACGAAUGGCACUAGGCGUCGGGGGGAGCGACCCUCUCGGUGCCGUCGCCUACGCAGUAAGUGCCCCGCCCUGGGAGUACGGGCCGCAGGCUGAAACUCAAAAUGAAUUGACGGG
Molecule: ribosomal RNA, 903 nt
Filed under: uncultured bacterium
Lineage: Bacteria
Description: bacterial SSU rRNA
Rfam family: Bacterial small subunit ribosomal RNA
Source: RNAcentral